RNAcentral lists this non-coding RNA (100 nucleotides) under human gut metagenome. RNAcentral describes it as "Pyrrolysine insertion sequence mttB". It matches the Rfam family "Pyrrolysine insertion sequence mttB". The record is from RNAcentral.
UAGUCCGACUCGAAGGUCCCCGACACCCAGUCUGGACACGAGAAGACAAUCACUGGACUGUUCCCCGCACUCGCUGGAGCGAACACCCUGUACGGAGCCG